RNAcentral lists this ribosomal RNA (495 nucleotides) under uncultured bacterium. RNAcentral describes it as "partial 16S ribosomal RNA". It matches the Rfam family "Bacterial small subunit ribosomal RNA", at positions 28 to 507 of the family's 1533-position model. The record is from RNAcentral.
GACGAACGCUGGCGGCGUGCCUAAUACAUGCAAGUAGAACGCUGAAGGAGGAGCUUGCUCUUCUGGACGAGUUGCGAACGGGUGAGUAACGCGUAGGUAACCUGCCUGGUAGCGGGGGAUAACUAUUGGAAACGAUAGCUAAUACCGCAUAACAGUAGAUGUUGCAUGACAUUUGCUUAAAAGGUGCAAUUGCACCACUACCAGAUGGACCUGCGUUGUAUUAGCUAGUUGGUGGGGUAACGGCUCACCAAGGCGACGAUACAUAGCCGACCUGAGAGGGUGAUCGGCCACACUGGGACUGAGACACGGCCCAGACUCCUACGGGAGGCAGCAGUAGGGAAUCUUCGGCAAUGGGCGGAAGUCUGACCGAGCAACGCCGCGUGAGUGAAGAAGGUUUUCGGAUCGUAAAGCUCUGUUGUAAGAGAAGAACGAGUGUGAGAGUGGAAAGUUCACACUGUGACGGUAUCUUACCAGAAAGGGACGGCUAACUACGUG